GCUCUGCUCCGUUCCCGCUCCCGCCCCGGGAGUCUGUGUUUAAUGAAACAGCUUUAGUGUUUUGUUACUGGCUUCUUAGGGCUUAAAUGCAGAGUUUGAAAUGAUGCCUUGUGGUUGAGUGAGUGUCUUCCUGCUGAAUUCAGCAGGCAUUCGGUGAAUUUGGGCUUCUGCAGGUGAAUUCAGUCUGGUGUUGUGGUUUUGUUUGUUUCUGUACUUGGGACAGUGAACCAAAUGUUCUUUUUCCCUCUCCGUCAGUGCUCUGAGGAGACCAAAUGUCCAGAAUGGUGCCGGUGACUUUGCUUGUGCACCUGCCGGGUAGAGGAGCAGGUUUGGCUCUGUGCAGCCCUGCUCCGGAGGCCGGCAGGGUGCUCUCUGGGUGCCCUGCAGCGCUGCCCUGGGAGCAGAGCAGCCCAUGCUGGGCUGUUCCUCAGGGCAGCUCUUGUGCUCUCUCUCGUCCUUUGCAGCGGAGGAGGCGGACCAGCUGAAGAGCCUGUUGCAGCCGAAGCGGCGCGAGCUGGCGCUGGACGUGCCGAAAGCAGAGGAACUGCCUGGGCUGCCAGAGAUGCUGAGAAAGGGCUGACGAAUUAGUGGUUACCACGACAACCUGUCACCUGUAGCUGAGCUCCACCCACCGCAUGUCCAAGGAGCUGCAGGUAAGGAACAAAGUGAAGCAGGAGCAGAAUGCCAGGCUGCAGCACCGAGGGAGAAUUGGAAGGAGCGCAGCUUGGAGGUGGCAGUGCUGGAGAAGCGUGUUAGUGAGCUGCCAGAGCACCUGGAGAAGAGAAAGGCAGCUCUGUCCCAGGGAGAGAAUGUACCAGUUUCUUCAGAUGGGAAUUCACCACAGCCAGUGGCUUCUGCUCCAAGGGGAGUGGCAGCAGUAGGUCCUUCUAUCCAGUCCUCUACUAUGCCACAUAUUGCUUCCAGACCUGAACUUUAGGUGAAAGCAGCAUUCUCAGGUGGGACGUGAGCCUUGCCGGGCAGCUGAGGGUCUGCUAAAAUCACAAACUCCGCCCAGCGUGGGAGCUGGGAACCGUUCACAAGCUAAAGCUCCUGCAGGUAAGAGCUUAUGAUUAAUAGUUCUUAUCCAGACAUGUUUUGGUUCAUCUAACUGCUCUGUUUUGGUGGUUUGGGGUUUUGUUUGUUUGUUUGUUUUUGAAGCAAAGAGUUACUUGCGAUGUUAAGUCUCGCUACUUGCAAUUAUUUUUUUUUUGUGCCUGUGAAUACAUUUAUAAGCAGUGAGGUUAUACAGUUCAAUGUUAUAAAUUAGGUAAUUCUCUUAGUGAGCAACAGGAGUUGUUAUACAGUGUGGACUGCAGAAGGAUUUGUGUGUAAACUAAUUAUUUUUUUUAUUUUAAAGCUCUCCUAAAAACUAUACACCAGUGUGCGUUUGAGUUUCUAGAGUCAGUUUUGGGUCAUACCUGGUAACAAUCUGGUGCCUGGAUUUAACAACUAGCAAAGCCAAGUUUUGUGAUCAUGCAUUUUGGAAAUGACACGUGUAAAGGAUUUACCAUUAGCGUAGCUAACAUGGCUACAGGCUCUGAAGUUAGAACUUCAGAAAAGAAGGCUCCCUGCCAAGGUCAAGGAGGAGUCUUAGAAAGCUAAACAAGUUUUUUCAUCUCUUAUGGACACCUGUGAUGCUCCAAUUAACACCGGACAACAAAGUAUGUUUCUCUUAUAUAUCCAGUGCUGUGUGAAGAAGAAUCACACGUCCAGGUGUAGCAGCAGUAUAUAAUAAAUGUUCUUCUUCUAAUAAACGGACAUUUUGCCAACCA
This is a long non-coding RNA of Pseudopipra pipra, 1772 nucleotides long. RefSeq lists it as uncharacterized. Lineage: Eukaryota; Metazoa; Chordata; Aves; Passeriformes; Pipridae. The transcript has 3 exons. The record is from RefSeq and is a predicted model, not a curated record.